Molecule: non-coding RNA, 134 nt
Organism: Xenopus laevis (African clawed frog)
Lineage: Eukaryota; Metazoa; Chordata; Amphibia; Anura; Pipidae
Source: Rfam
UGCAGCCUUGUCAAAUUCAGUUGGGUCGCUUUCGUGAUCCCCACUGGCCCUAAUGGCUGCUACAGGAGUUUGCCGUUCAUGUCUCCCACUUCUCUUACUGUGAGAUAUGUAGGUGCCAUGGGCUGCUGACAUUU